Non-coding RNA from Penicillium salamii, 132 nucleotides. The record is from the annotation of a GenBank genome assembly. Lineage: Eukaryota; Fungi; Ascomycota; Eurotiomycetes; Eurotiales; Aspergillaceae.
GGCCCAGUGGUCUAGUGGUAGAAUACAUCGUUCGGAGGAAAUCCCCAUUCCCAAAGGGUGGUUCCCAAAAGGGGGCCAUCUGCAAAAGGAUGGAGUCUCGAUGUGACCCGCGUUCGAUUCGCGGCUGGGCCC